CCUACGGGAGGCUGCAGUAGGGAAUAUUGCUCAAUGGGGGAAACCCUGAAGCAGCAACGCCGCGUGGAGGAUGAAGGUUUUCGGAUUGUAAACUCCUUUUGUUAGAGAAGAUAAUGACGGUAUCUAACGAAUAAGCACCGGCUAACUCCGUGCCAGCAGCCGCGGUAAUCCGGAGGGUGCAAGCGUUACUCGGAAUCACUGGGCGUAAAGAGCACGGAGGCGGGAUCGCAAGUCAGAUGUGAAAUCCUCUGGCUUAACCAUAGAACUGCAUUUGAGACUGGUAUUCUAGAGUAUGGGAGAGGUAGGUAGAAUUCUUGGUGUAGGGGUGAAAUCCGUAGAGAUCAAGAGGAAUACUCAUUGCGAAGGCGACCCGCUAGACCAUGACUGACGCUGAUGCGCGAAAGCGUGGGGAGCAAACAGGAUUAGAUACCCGAGUAGUC
RNAcentral lists this ribosomal RNA (440 nucleotides) under uncultured bacterium. RNAcentral describes it as "partial 16S ribosomal RNA". It matches the Rfam family "Bacterial small subunit ribosomal RNA", at positions 338 to 795 of the family's 1533-position model. The record is from RNAcentral.